This 338-nucleotide ribosomal RNA is filed under the name Nematoda environmental sample. RNAcentral's name for it is "SSU rRNA". It matches the Rfam family "Eukaryotic small subunit ribosomal RNA", at positions 1300 to 1665 of the family's 1831-position model. Lineage: Eukaryota; Metazoa; Nematoda. The record is from RNAcentral.
CGUGGUGUGAACUGUCUGCUUAAUUGCGAUAACGAGCGAGACUCCGACUGUUAGAUAGUGGGAGGUUUGUUUUAACCUCCGCACUUCUUAGGGGGAUUCGCAACUUCAAGUUGCAAGAAAUGGAGCAAUAACAGGUCUGUGAUGCCCUUAGAUGUCCGGGGCAGCACGCGUGCUACAAUGGUGGUAACAGCGUGAUUGUCCUCGCCCGAGAGGGCUUGGCAAACAGUUGAGAUAUUAUUAUGGCUGGAAUUGAGUGUUGAAAUUUUCUCUCAUGAACGAGGAAUUCCAAGUAAAUGCGAGUCAUCAACUUGCAUUGAAUACGUCCCUGCCCUUUGUAC